UUCCACUCUCAAAGCUGCCUGCCUGUGAAGGUGCAGCACGCUCCCUCCCCCUCCAUGUCUCUCCAAGCAGCAGGAAAACAGGGCUUACCAAGCAGGAUGCACAUUCUUGAACUGCUUUUUGCCUGCCUCACAGUAACUUGAACCAGCAUAAUCAUUUGCAGAUCUGUUCUGGCAUUGUCAAAAAUGCAUCCACGGUGGCACGCAGCAGUCAGGAAACCAAGGCGCUGGGGCACUUACAGGAAUGGCCUUUAAACACUGCAUAACCAAGCAUAGUUCAAUAAACACAGACAGGGAAAAAAAACCAGGAAAAUCAGCCCUGAACUGUGCACUGCAUCUGCACUGCUAACCUCAUAGUGCUCAGCACCUUCCCCUCCUUCAGCCCACACACCUCCUGUGACCCCUCGCUAUGCUCCCCGUGGCCCGGAGCACCGUCAGCGACCAGCAAGGAAGCUGCAGCUGGGCUGUGCCACCUGAAAUAAGAAACAGAAGUCUUGAUCACUGGAGGCAAAGAGGUUUCAGGACUAUGGGAGUGCACGGUGGGAGGAACCUGACUCUAUAAGAAGGCACUGCAGUAAGGCCCCACUAUUUCCUCCUUGCCAAAUAGCGAAAUUCAAAGUGCCACCUCCCAGGCCCGUGCCUCCUGGGCUGAAUUGCAGACAGCCCUGUCCACAGCGUGGUCCCUGUAAUGCUGCUGGUGCCCCAGGCAGCAUGCUUGCUGCUGUCCGCCCCGGUGGCCUGAGGCCUUCACAAACGGUGCUCCCAACCAUAGGGCUGUGGCCUACAACCCCAAGCUGCAGCUACACCAUUACACAGUGUGAGCACAGCACCAUUUCACAAUCACCCUUUGCACGUGCACACUUGUUUUUCUGGGGAACAGGCCACUUCUACCGGGCUUGAGUGAGUGAGCUUCACAUCGUCCGAAGUGCUGAGCACAGAAACAAUCCUGUUGGACUCCACAGCACCCAUAAUGCUGAAUGGUUACCCUCACUGCACUGCCCCCCACCACAACAGGGUCAGCUUUUCAGAAAGCAUGCAUAUGCAACAGAAGGCGACUGUUAGUUGUGUGUUCACCCCAAGUGUCUGCACCCCUCCUUUCCUCUUCCAUGUCUGUUUUGAUUGGCCAGGAAGAAAAACACAUUGGCAUGGGAUUGAUCCAUUGUCUGAGGUUAGGAGCUCUGUACUUGAGGGAGGGGGGAGGAAUGCUGGAUUUAAGCAGCCUGACCCAGGCCAGAAGGGGCUUUGGGAGUUGAUGUAGUGCAAUCCCAACACCGUGCCCUGGAAUAAGCCUCAGUGGCACGCUGCAUCAGGUUGCUGAUGGCCUUCUCAGGCUGCUGCCAGAGCAUGCUCAAGGAUGGAGGUUCUCCAAAAAUCCGGGUCCCUGUUGAGCAAGGGGCCAGCCAUAUUCUGAAAGAAGUUACUGCACCCAUUUGAGGACCUAUUUGCACCUUCUGAUACCUGUUUUUAACGUGUAUUCUAUUCUAUACGACACUUUACACUGAAGUCACUCCAGCACAAAUUCCCAUCUAUUCUACUGAAUGAAAUGGGGUGAGAAUGGCACAGAAACUGCGUAGCACUUGAUGCUCUGCAGGUUCUUGGUGCAGUAAAAGACAUCCCCACCCCAAUGCACAGCUAAGAGCUGGCUACCAGCACCUCUGUAGCAAUACUUAGAACAGCACGUAUGCAUCGAGUUACUGAAGUUGCCAGAUUAUUUGCCAUCUUUUCCAGAACUUGUUUCAUAUCUCAUCAGUGCACACGAAAGAUGUAUAUAGAGAAGCUUUAUAGAAAUUUGUAAGUGCCAAAACGGACUUCUCUGGCCAAACAGCAACCCAGUGGAAGAAAAGGUUUUUAUUUAUGGCAGAGAGAAUUACAUUCUCCCUGAGACUGCCUAUCAGUAGUAUUCUUAAUAAGUGGCUUCAGUUGGGAUCCUGCUCAUGUAAGGAACACUUGGAGAGAGGAUCUGACUCCCUAUGCAAGACUGAAAUCAGGUAUAAAAGUUGAUCGCACUGAAAGAGUGGAAACCUUGUAACAUAGCAGGUGGAUUUGCAGCACUAAUUAACAGGUAAGAAUCCAACUUGCUUUGCUCAGCAUAACCACACCCCCACAUCUGUACACCCAUUCGUGCAUCUGCACGGGAUUUCAUCAAGAAACGACAUCCUUGUUUCCUACCCGGUACCAACUUCACCAACACAGAACCUGUUACUCCCUGAAUGAACCGUGUGUCUGAUCUCAUGUGACCUCCACUGAUAUCUAACAAACACACACUCAAGUCACCUCAUCUCCUAAAUCCUUGCUGAAUAAAUGGUAAAGUGUACGUGUGCUAUUAAGUAGUAGCAGAGUAACCGACCCUGCAUUUCCCUCAUCUUUCACCUGGAUUUUCAAUGGAGGUAUUCAGCAUUGUACUGUCAAGUAGAAUUGUCAGAGAGAGUGCAUGCAAAGGACACAAGCUUUACAAGCUUUCUGGGUGUGCACGUUAGGUGAUGACCUUGUGGACCUCCCCGAACUCAUCAUAAUGGGGUUUUCUGGCAUAGGAGCACCAGGUUAAGUACAGCUUCUGUCAAGCUUUCUGAGCGUAUCAGACAGAACCAUCUCAGAUUCACAAGUCCACCUGAAGCAUGACCAAGCAGAGACACAAAACUGCAGCACUCACCUCCCCUCCUUUGGAGAUGAACCCUCUACGUGACCAGAAACAGGCAUUUUCAUGCCAAAAAAAACCCCCCCACAAAAACAAAACCCAAACCAAACUGAAAAAUCUUACCUAAGUUCCUGCACUGAGUCUGAACAGCAACCGCUCAGCUCGACCCAGGGGUUGUUGGGUGGUCCUGGUUGUUCCCAGCUGUGUCUGCCCUCCUCCCUCCUGUAGCUGAGUGCAUGGGAAAAUUCUUGUGGAAAGCAGCUGUGUCUCCUAAUGAGCAAAGCCUGGGCAGACUCCACUCAAGCGACGCAUGGGUUUAUGUGAACCAGUCACAAGAAUGGCUUGCACUGAAGCUGCUGUUCGAACCAAGAGAACAAGUGGCUGCUAAUAACUCACUUUCUACCUUUUAAAGAAAAAAAAUCUCCAUUUUGUAUAACCAGGCUGGAAUAAUAGUCACAUGGACACACUGGAAAAAACAAUGCUUCCACUUAGGAUAGCAUCAAAAGCAGUACAAAUCAUUUUCGACAUUUAAAUCGGGUUCAAAGACAUUCGUUCCCAUAGAGCCGAACACUCCCAAGAAGCAACGUUUAGGAUCUAUGAUUCCAUCAUCUUUAAGAUCUGCACCUGAAGAGCUGUGGGGUGCAGGGAGGUGAAAGCCCUUCUUGAAUCUGGCCUCGUUCAUGGCCUUGCUGUGGGCAACCGCGGCUGUCUGGGCACUGCCUGCAUCUGGUUGGAGCUCCCCAAAGCUCUCAGCAAGCCAGGCCUCCACGGCAGUCAUCUGUGAGAAAUGGGCAUCCAAAGGAAUCCUGGACACAGACUGAGAACACCGCAUCUCUUCGGACGCCUGAAGACAGAAAUGAGCUUUUCUAAAGUUCUUUCAUCUUUUGCUAUAUAGAAAAAGAAGAAUGUUGUCAGCAUUUGUGAGGUGCUACAGCUUACAGCAAAUCCCACUUCUGAUGUUACUCUUACUGCUACAACUGUCUUCAAAUCUCGCUGUCUGCCUACAAAUGAGGGUUAUGGGGUGGCAGCACGUUGUCACAGCAAAUACAGGACAGCACCAAGUCCAAAGGCUGUAAGAAUGAAGUUAUUCUGGCUUCAUUCAGCUGCUAGAGCCUCACCUGCGCCUGCAGUGACUCCAGUUUUCUGCCUAAGCCAGCAGGACCUGCGCUGCCACUGACACACAGUGCUACAUCAGCCUAAGAAGAUCUCAGCCACAACAUCCUAUACAAAUAGAAGGUCCCUAUCUCCAGUGCUCCUGCCCAAGUAAGGCCGUAGUAUCAAGUUUUCAGGGCAGGGAAUCGGUGUUCAAAGCAGUGCAGACAGAUCAAUGCAGCUCCUUUCAGAGCUCAGCUAGUGUAAGAAGACAGUCAAAAACACGGCCUGGCAGAAGCCAGAACGCAUCCCCACGUCUUUCUGCUGCCCAGAGAUAGGGGGAGGUGGGAGGACGACCUCCUGUGCACUCAGGAACAGCAGCAGCGUGGGCUUCACUUGCCUUUACAUUCACAGCUGCCUAUUUUGGGCUCGGGAAAGCCCAAAGGGGUCUCCUGCUUGGCCAUGCAGCAAUCACGGCUUCCCCUGCCUCGGGAUUAACACUGCACACCAUGUUCCAUUUCUCAGCACAGCUCCCAUGCUUCCUUCACAAGCUACAUUACUGAAAUCCCACGGCUUUGGCAAUGCUGGUACUAUUAGCAAGUAGAGGCUGCUUGUUCUUUCUGCCUAACUGCCACUUUUGUCCCUGCAACCACUCCACCCUGGUGUGCAUGGUGAGCUUCUCUUUUGCACAACUUUGCUACCAAAGCAGCUCUCUGUUUUACAGCCUGUGCAAAUAAGAUACCCAUAUACUGACCCCGGACUUGUAUACCUUUGUGUGUGACUGUUUACAUAUAUAUUUGUGAGUUGGGAAAUAAACAAGUUAUCAACUUUACUCCUGUCUGAUUCUGUCAUCUUCCUGUAACAUAUCAAUUGCUGUGGAUACAAAAUGAGCCUCUA
Molecule: long non-coding RNA, 4621 nt
Organism: Gallus gallus (chicken)
Lineage: Eukaryota; Metazoa; Chordata; Aves; Galliformes; Phasianidae
Source: Ensembl